Molecule: transfer RNA, 87 nt
Filed under: Rachovia pyropunctata
Lineage: Eukaryota; Metazoa; Chordata; Actinopteri; Cyprinodontiformes; Rivulidae
Description: tRNA-Ala
Rfam family: tRNA (bases 1-69)
About the family: Transfer RNA (tRNA) molecules are approximately 80 nucleotides in length. Their secondary structure includes four short double-helical elements and three loops (D, anti-codon, and T loops). Further hydrogen bonds mediate the characteristic L-shaped molecular structure. tRNAs have two regions of fundamental functional importance: the anti-codon, which is responsible for specific mRNA codon recognition, and the 3' end, to which the tRNAs corresponding amino acid is attached (by aminoacyl-tRNA synthetases). tRNAs cope with the degeneracy of the genetic code in two manners: having more than one tRNA (with a specific anti-codon) for a particular amino acid; and 'wobble' base-pairing, i.e. permitting non-standard base-pairing at the 3rd anti-codon position.
Source: RNAcentral
GAGUCUUUAGCUUAAUUAAAGCGUCUGUCUUGCAUGCAGAAGAUAUGGGUCUGAGCCCUGUAAGUUUCUUAGGAAUUGAAAGAUUUA